UCACAUGAUAUACAUGUGACUGUGUGUGCACUGUCUGGAGGAGCAAGCUGUCGUGAGGAGAGGAGGAGCAGCCAGCCAGUGUGACAGCCUGGAGCACUAGCCACCAGCUACAGAGGAGCUGACACUCAGGUCCCUGGAAAAUUGCUCUGUGACGCUGAAGAAGAAGAGAACUGCAGGAGAGGCAGUGUUGCGGAAGACUGACAGGCAAACGACACUCCCACCUUGCCUUCUUAAAGAAGUUCCAUCACAGCUGCUCUGAUUUGAUCAGUCACAUGCCUCCAGUUGUGCCAGGCUGCAGAGAAGAAACAAGCAGAUCUCAAUCUAAUCAAGCACCUGUGCGGUGUGCUGGAAAAACAAGUACAAACCAUGGAGGCCCCACCACGCAACUUACAGGACUUAAAGGAUCUGCUGCUAACAUCUUAGUGCCCCAUACCACAGAACAUCUUCAGAGAUCUUGUGGAGCGAGUCUGUGUCUUAAUGGGUCAGAGCUGCUGUGGCAGCACAAGGGGGGCCUACACAAUAUUAUGCUUACAAAGAUACAGGAGACCUGGUAUUGAUGGUUUUAUCCUAGAAACACUUGCAAUACGUAAGUCCAUUAUAAACAUUGCUUCGAAGGGAAACUAACAUCACAUGCUGGCAUUUCAUCUGAAAUAGUACGAAGUACAUUUGAGGCAAAGUUUCUAUUUCAGUUUCUGGCUGCAAACCUUAUAAUUGCAGCCAUAUGUGGUUCUAAUAAAAGGCCAUCAGAAAAAG
Long non-coding RNA from Pseudophryne corroboree (corroboree frog), 753 nucleotides. RefSeq lists it as uncharacterized. The transcript is spliced from 4 exons. Lineage: Eukaryota; Metazoa; Chordata; Amphibia; Anura; Myobatrachidae. The record is from RefSeq and is a predicted model, not a curated record.